UUGUCGCCGUAGUUCUAAUAACAUAUAAGUAAUCAAAUAUGGUGAUUACGUUUCUACCAGAGAACCGAAUAAAUUCUCAGACUAUGGUAUAAAAACUCUUUUUU
This 104-nucleotide non-coding RNA is filed under the name Clostridium sp. RNAcentral's name for it is "Guanine sequence". It matches the Rfam family "Purine riboswitch aptamer". From Rfam's summary of the family: Riboswitches are metabolite binding domains within certain messenger RNAs that serve as precision sensors for their corresponding targets. Allosteric rearrangement of mRNA structure is mediated by ligand binding, and this results in modulation of gene expression. A class of riboswitches that selectively recognises guanine and becomes saturated at concentrations as low as 5 nM. Lineage: Bacteria; Bacillati; Bacillota; Clostridia; Eubacteriales; Clostridiaceae. The record is from RNAcentral. RNAcentral also lists the same sequence under 1 other name.